GCAGGCUGCAACCCGCCUGUAUGAAGUUGGAAUCGCUAGUAAUCGCGGAUCAGCAUGCCGCGGUGAAUACGUUCCCCGGGCCUUGUACACACCGCCCGUCAAGCCAUGGGAGCCGGGGGUACCUGAAGUGCGUAACCGCGAGGAGCGCCCUAGGGUAAAACUGGUGACUGGGGCUAAGUCGUAACAAGGUAAC
This 193-nucleotide ribosomal RNA is filed under the name uncultured bacterium. RNAcentral's name for it is "partial 16S ribosomal RNA". It matches the Rfam family "Bacterial small subunit ribosomal RNA", at positions 1300 to 1500 of the family's 1533-position model. The record is from RNAcentral.